GUCCCCUCUGUCUAGAGGUUCCCGUGACACCGCCCUUCACGGCGGUAACAGGGGUUCGAAUCCCCCAGGGGACGCCA
RNAcentral lists this transfer RNA (77 nucleotides) under Salmonella enterica subsp. enterica serovar Enteritidis. Its description in RNAcentral is "tRNA-OTHER". Lineage: Bacteria; Pseudomonadati; Pseudomonadota; Gammaproteobacteria; Enterobacterales; Enterobacteriaceae. The record is from RNAcentral.